AGAAUCAACGCUGGCGGCGUGCCUAACACAUGCAAGUCGCACGAGAAAGUGGAGCAAUCCAUGAGUACAGUGGCGCACGGGUGAGUAACACGUGAAUAAUCUACCUCCGAGUGGGGAAUAACCUAGAGAAAUCUGGGCUAAUACCGCAUAACACUUACGAGUCAAAGCAGCAAUGCGCUUGGAGAGGAGUUCGCGGCCGAUUAGCUAGUUGGCGGGGUAAUGGCCCACCAAGGCGAUGAUCGGUAUCCGGCCUGAGAGGGCGCACGGACACACUGGAACUGAAACACGGUCCAGACUCCUACGGGAGGCAGCAGUGGGGAAUUUUGCGCAAUGGGGGAAACCCUGACGCAGCAACGCCGCGUGGAGGAUGAAAUCCCUUGGGAUGUAAACUCCUUUCGAUAGGGAAGAUAAUGACGGUACCUAUAGAAGAAGCCCCGGCUAACUUCGCGCCAGCAGCCGC
Molecule: ribosomal RNA, 460 nt
Filed under: uncultured bacterium
Lineage: Bacteria
Description: SSU rRNA
Rfam family: Bacterial small subunit ribosomal RNA
Source: RNAcentral